RNAcentral lists this long non-coding RNA (1842 nucleotides) under Piliocolobus tephrosceles (Ugandan red Colobus). RNAcentral describes it as "lncRNA (ENSPTEG00000022695.1)". Lineage: Eukaryota; Metazoa; Chordata; Mammalia; Primates; Cercopithecidae. The record is from RNAcentral.
UUUUUUUUUUUUUUCCAACACGUUGAACAAAUUAAAAAAGAAAAAAUUUAAAGAAGUAAAAAAAAAAACAAUGUAAGAUACAUGUGACUAAUUGAACAACAUACAAAAAUUGUAUAAAGCCUUUUUAUGACUUACAUAUUUUCGAAACAAUUUUCAAAUAUGCUAAAAAUAUAUACAUAUCUAAAAAUUUGGUAUUAGUUAUUUUUUAUACAUGCCUAUAUGUAUGAACAGGCAAAAUAUAAAAUUGAAAUAAGAGAUUGAAAAGACAAUAUAAUAGUUUUGUUUUUCUUUCUUAUUUUUGAUUCACACGUAUAAUAUUUAUUUAUAUAGUACGACAAUUAUAUUCUUCGCAUAAAUGUGUACAUAUAUAUAUUAAAACCUAGCAAGAGAUGAAUCUCCCUACCAAAGAUAAAUUAACGAACUUAAAAGAUUUAGCACAAUUUUAUAAAAAAGACAAUGAAAAACUGAAUGAAAACACCGACCAUCUUGUAUACUCCGUUAAAAAAAGAUUAAAUGAAAUAAAAGAAAAGGGUGAUGAAGAGUUUAAUGAUUAUACAACCACGAAGAAAAACUUAGAGCUAUUAAACAGAAAAUUAAAGAUAACACAACAAUCUUUUGAUCAACGAAAAUUUGAAAAUGAAGAACUGCGAAACAGAAAUGAUGAAGCACUACGAAAAUAUGAAAACCUUAAACAUGCCAAAUACACCUACCAAUUAAUGUUACAAAGAAUUAAAAAAGAAAAAAAGCUCUUAUAUUUUUAUUUAAAUUCGCUAGAAAGAACUGUGAAAGUUUUAAAAAGUACUGAGCAAUAUGCCAACAAAAGUCUUCAAAAAAAAAUAUUAGAAAAUAAAAAAUUGAAAAAAGCUAUAGAAGAAAAAAAAAUGGAAAUUUAUGAAAUAAAAACCAAAAAUAACGAUAUAUUAAAAUACAUGCAUGUUGAUAAAGAACAUAGUAAUAUAUUAAGAAUAAGGAGAGAGAUGAUCAACGAAUAUAAAAUUAAAAGAUUAAAAAAUGCUGAUAUACAAUUACUGAUAUACAAAAAAGGAAAAUAUAAAAAACUUGCUUUGUAUUACAUUCUUUAUGGUAAUUAUCUAAAAUUAAAAGCUUCAGCUAUUUUUGACAAUGCAAGUAAUAUAUAUGCUGCCAUAUCCAAAUUAAGAGAAGCGACGGGUGUUACGGACAUAUACGAUAUAAAUCAGAAAUUUAUAGACAUUGAAAAUAAAAAAAUUAUAUUAAAAAAAGAAGAAGAAAUAUCUCAACUAAAACUAGAAGACGCUAUUAGAGCAUUUGUUGCCACAAAUGAUGAAAUACUAAACGAAUUUGAAGCCGCACAAGAAGAACAAGCAACACAAGCGACAGAUGAAAAACCUAUAAAAAAAAAACGUAUUACAGUAGACGAAAUGCUGGAAUUGUAUAGAAACGUUUUUAACGGAGAAAGAGAACUGUCAGAUCUUAAUAUCAAGUUAGAAAAUAUACGAUAUUAUAUGGACAAACAAAAUAAAUAUUUUUAUUCAAUAAAUAUAGAGGAUAGAAUCGAGUUUAAUUCUCACGAUGACGUGUUGCAAUAUUUAAAGAACUUUAAAGGGCCUCUUAGUAUAAUUAUGAAAUUAACACGAAAAAACCGAGAGAAUGGAAACUUUAGCAAAUCCUACAGAUCUUUAGAAUUUUUCGAUAUUUUAAAUAUGUAUAAAAAUUUGAAUUUUCACAAGAAUAUGUGCAAAGUUGAUGUUGGACGUGAGAUCAAGAAAACAGUAAAAAUAGAAUCAAAAGUGCUAACUAAAAAAAAACGUACUUAAUUAAUUGCCCUCUGGAGAUAUCCUUUAGUAUUAUACACACGUACAU